Molecule: ribosomal RNA, 709 nt
Filed under: uncultured Pseudomonadota bacterium
Lineage: Bacteria; Pseudomonadati; Pseudomonadota
Description: bacterial SSU rRNA
Rfam family: Bacterial small subunit ribosomal RNA
Source: RNAcentral
AGUGAACGCUGGCGGUAGGCCUAACACAUGCAAGUCGAACGGCAGCACAGGAGAGCUUGCUCUCUGGGUGGCGAGUGGCGGACGGGUGAGGAAUACAUCGGAAUCUACUUUUUCGUGGGGGAUAACGUAGGGAAACUUACGCUAAUACCGCAUACGACCUACGGGUGAAAGCAGGGGAUCUUCGGACCUUGCGCGAUUGAAUGAGCCGAUGUCGGAUUAGCUAGUUGGCGGGGUAAAGGCCCACCAAGGCGACGAUCCGUAGCUGGUCUGAGAGGAUGAUCAGCCACACUGGAACUGAGACACGGUCCAGACUCCUACGGGAGGCAGCAGUGGGGAAUAUUGGACAAUGGGCGCAAGCCUGAUCCAGCCAUACCGCGUGGGUGAAGAAGGCCUUCGGGUUGUAAAGCCCUUUUGUUGGGAAAGAAAUCCAGCUGGUUAAUACCCGGUUGGGAUGACGGUACCCAAAGAAUAAGCACCGGCUAACUUCGUGCCAGCAGCCGCGGUAAUACGAAGGGUGCAAGCGUUACUCGGAAUUACUGGGCGUAAAGCGUGCGUAGGUGGUCGUUUAAGUCCGUUGUGAAAGCCCUGGGCUCAACCUGGGAACUGCAGUGGAUACUGGACGACUAGAGUGUGGUAGAGGGUAGCGGAAUUCCUGGUGUAGCAGUGAAAUGCGUAGAGAUCAGGAGGAACAUCCAUGGCGAAGGCAGCU